This 1364-nucleotide ribosomal RNA is filed under the name uncultured bacterium. Its description in RNAcentral is "bacterial SSU rRNA". It matches the Rfam family "Bacterial small subunit ribosomal RNA", at positions 28 to 1381 of the family's 1533-position model. The record is from RNAcentral.
AACAAACGCUGGCGGCGUGCCUAAUACAUGCAAGUCGAACGGGGUAGCAAUACCCAGUGGCGCACGGGAGAGUAACACGUGGAUAAUCUGCCUUUGAGUGUGGAAUAACCUUUCGAAAGAAGGGCUAAUACCGCAUAAGACCACAAGAACUGCGGUUCAAGGGGUCAAAGGUAGCCUCUAUUUAUAAGCUAUCGCUUAAAGAUGAGUCCGCGCCCGAUUAGCUAGUUGGUGAGGUAAUGGCUCACCAAGGCAUUUAUCGGUAGCUGGUCUGAGAGGAUGACCAGCCUCACUGGAACUGAGACACGGUCCAGACUCCUACGGGAGGCAGCAGUAGGGAAUAUUGCGCAAUGGGCGAAAGCCUGACGCAGCGACGCCGCGUGAGUGAUGAAGGCCUUCGGGUCGUAAAGCUCUGUUGUACGGGAAGAAGUUUGCAAGGUUAAUAGUCUUGCAAAUUGACGGUACCGUAUAAGAAAGGACCGGCUAACUUCGUGCCAGCAGCCGCGGUAAGACGAGGGGUCCUAGCGUUGUUCGGAAUCACUGGGCGUAAAGAGUUUGUAGGCGGCCCUGUAAGUCGGGUGUGAAAUCCCAUGGCUCAACCAUGGAAGUGCACUCGAAACUGCAGGGCUUGAAUAUGGAAGAGGGCAGUAGAAUUCCAGGUGUAGUGGUGAAAUACGUAGAUACCUGGAGGAAUACCGGUGGCGAAGGCGGCUGCCUGGUCCAAUAUUGACGCUGAGAAACGAAAGUGUGGGGAUCAAACAGGAUUAGAUACCCUGGUAGUCCACACCGUAAACGAUGGAUACUUGGUGUUGGAGGUAUUGACCCCUUCAGUGCCGAAGCUAACGCGUUAAGUGUCCCGCCUGGGAAGUACGGUCGCAAGAUUAAAACUCAAAGAAAUUGACGGGGGCCCGCACAAGCGGUGGAGCAUGUGGUUCAAUUCGAUGCAACGCGAAAAACCUUACCUGGGUUUGAAGUGCUAGUGAAUAUGGUAGAGAUAUCAUAGGCCUUCGGGACACUAGUAUCAGGUGCUGCAUGGCUGUCGUCAGCUCGUGUCGUGAGAUGUCGGGUUAAGUCCCAUAACGAGCGCAACCCCUGUGUUUAGUUGCCAGCAUUAAGUUGGGCACUCUAAACAGACUGCCGACGUUAAGUCGGAGGAAGGUGGGGAUGACGUCAAGUCCUCAUGGCCUUUAUGUCCAGGGCUACACACGUGCUACAAUGGUCGGUACAAAGGGCUGCAAGAGUGCAAACUGGAGCAAAUCCCAAAAAACCGAUCUAAGUUCGGAUAGGAGUCUGCAACUCGACUCCUUGAAGCUGGAAUCGCUAGUAAUCGCAGAUCAGCAUGCUGCGGUGAAUACGUUCCCGGGCCU